UACGUAGGGGGCAAGCGUUGUCCGGAAUUAUUGGGCGUAAAGAGUACGUAGGCGGUUUGUUAAGCGCAAGGUGAAAGGCAUAGGCUCAACCAAUGUGAGCCUUGCGAACUGGCAGACUUGAGUGCAGGAGAGGAAAGCGGAAUUCCUAGUGUAGCGGUGAAAUGCGUAGAUAUUAGGAGGAACACCGGUGGCGAAGGCGGCUUUCUGGACUGAAACUGACGCUGAGGUACGAAAGCGUGGGGAGCAAACAGG
This 252-nucleotide ribosomal RNA is filed under the name uncultured bacterium. Its description in RNAcentral is "partial 16S ribosomal RNA". It matches the Rfam family "Bacterial small subunit ribosomal RNA", at positions 524 to 776 of the family's 1533-position model. The record is from RNAcentral.